Molecule: long non-coding RNA, 3630 nt
Organism: Amblyraja radiata (thorny skate)
Lineage: Eukaryota; Metazoa; Chordata; Chondrichthyes; Rajiformes; Rajidae
Exons: 3
Source: RefSeq, a predicted model, not a curated record
AGAUUUCGUUCAAUGAUUCUAGUCUGCACACGACAUUCGAGUACCCAUCUGAGAGCUCGCUAAUUCAAGAGGAUGAUUCUGACGGGAGUGAGGACGAUGAGGAGGAGCGACCCUUGACCACCUUCUUCCCGCGUCCCAGCUACACCAGCUCCCCUACGUCCACCAGCAGCCCCAUGCACUCCAACACCGUCACCUCAGCCCUGUCGAGUUACACGCCUAAACACACGAUGCCCUUCGACACGUGGCAGGAACAGAAGCUGAAUGAACCCUUUUCCAGUCGAGACAGCUCGAUGCAGGGUGGAGAAUCCACGACAGAGGACAACAUGCUCACACCAACAGACAACAGCCGCCAUUCAGACUACAGCAGUGAACCAGCGCUGUACUUCUGAUCUGAAGCAGGUGGAUCUCGGGAUGGUAACAGUGCUUCUUUAGGGACUAAUGUGCCAAGAGUUGUUCGGAUGGUACAUGCAGGCUACGUGCCAUCUGAGGUGUGGCCAGGACUCCUUCCAGAAACUCACCUGUCUCCUUGUAGCUAUGCAGGUCACACUGCAUGUCCCAGGACCAAGGGUAAUCUUGAAAGAACUUCAGUUUGUUUCCUGACAUUCCUUUGAGUUUCUGCUGCGCCUCCAGGAGUCGUCUCCAGAUUACAGGUGGCACACUGCUGCAUUUAUGUGGCAGCCUUGAAGCACAGAGACCUCUUACCCCCUGCACCCAAUUUGCUACUUUUGCACUUGCUCUCUAAGGGCUCUGACCUGAUUCUAAAUCAUUCCUGGAUAGGCGGGACCACCAAGGUGAAGCUCUUUCUGGAAGAUGCUGACUACUUUACAGCGGAGACUUUACUUUCACCCUGUGUUUUGUGGCUUUGACCACAUUUGUCUUUGAGUAUUGGGACCCUGGUUCCUGUUUCUAGCAUUGACGAUUGCAGUUGCAUUUCACAUUGCAACAUUAUGUAUAUAAUGUAUUUCUCUAGUUUGUAAUUUGCAUUGUGCCACUGAUGGGUAUAACUCUUUCCAUUUUCAAUGCUCAUUUCCUGUGUCUUAAAUGAUGUAAUGAACCAUCCCGGCACCUUGGCAUCUGACCACCUCCUGGUGAGGCGUGGAGGCUGAGAACACCAAACCACUCCUUGCAUUGAAGAUGGGAUUUCUAUGGAAAGUCUUUAGUGCCAUGUAUCCACUGGGUAGUUAGGAUAGUGCGAGAGAGUUGCUCCAUGUACAAGGGCAAGAAUGGAUGCGUGCUGCUGCUGUUCUACCAGAAUGAACAUUUGUUGAUGCCUCGAACUGAAGCAUCAAAUAUUUGUGUGGUUUCAAAUGAUCAGUCUUCGGGGACAAAGCUCUUCUCUUUUUGGAUCCAUUUAGCCCUAAUACACCUGAAAAAGGUGUAGAAUGGUCCGUGCAAAUGGACCGAUGUAAAAUGCAAUAAAUAACAGCGGGAGUGUUUUAUUUGAGGCAGAAAUAAUUGAAAGACUUUCUGUAGCUCAAUGCCAUCACCUGCAUAUUUCCUGUUGUUGAUUUAGUUCCUCUUGGGUAGUCUAGGAAUGACAUUGCACUCUCAGAUCCUACAAAGAAAAUCUUCAAUCAAGCAAAAUAUGGAUCUGAAAUUGUGUUUCCUGACGGUGGAGAGGAUUAUACUUGUGUGAUGGGGAGAGGGCAGGGGACAUGCUGCUAUCGUUAUUGUCUUGGCAACUACACUGUCUUCUGAAAUGUUGCAGCGCUGAGAGCACCCAAUGCCAAUAAUUCUGAUGCAGCAGUGCCUACUGGAUUUCCUAAAAGAAAAUUAGAAAGAAAAACUAAGGAUUCGGUUUAAUCUCAGCCCAAGGAACCAGAUGGCAGCUUAAAUGUGUGUAGAAAGACAUUUAGUUUGGAUUUGGCAUUGUCUCUGAGUGGAGUGGGAAAGGUGCAAAAUUAGGUUUGUAGGCUGCAUUACUUCUGUCUCACUUUCCACUUUGAUUAGUUAGAAAACAUUGUUAAUUCAAUGCAAUUCAGGGCGAUGAACUGUGAGUGGGAAACUGCAGGAAAUUCCUUGUGACUCAAGGGAAAUUAUCUGCUGUUACAAGUGGAAGUGAAAUGUUUAGUCGAGAGACUAGAUUUUUAUAAUUUUCUGAUUAAAACUAGAUUAAAAUGUUAGAUCAGGACUUGGCAAUAGAACACGGAGUGGUCUUUGGAGUAUAGUUGGCCCUGAUGUUGUAUGGGAAUUUAAUGGCCCAUGAAAUAUCUAUCUCUUUAUUCACGCUGAAAUGUAAAGCACUGGGACAGAAUGCAACUUAUUUUCUGGGUUUAAGUCAUGCUUGGGCUGAGGUGUACGAAGAAACCUGUUAUUAGCGAUCAUUUGAAGCUAUUGUCAUGUAGUUUUUGCCUUGGUUCUUGGAGUCCAAAAGCACUUGCAUUAUUAUUCAUAAUGAUGGAUUCAUCUCCGUCAGGGUGAUAAAGGUAGUUGUUGAACACAGAGAUAAUCUGCAGUGGUCAGGGAUGGAAAUUGUUCCAGUGUUGAACCAGUGUCAUAGUUGUAUGAAAACCACUGAGAGAUGUGUGGAAUUAUUCUCUACCGACUUACACUUUACUACCAAACCAUCCACGUAAACUGAGGUCGCAGUCACUGGAUGUGUUACGUCUGCCUGGGGAUGAACGAGUGUGUGAGCUAACUGCAAGUUACUGAGUCAGCGUUCACGAGCCAGACAUGGACGAGGUCAGGCAAUUGUCGCCCAGCACCUCAUCCACCUCUGCUCUCGACACCCUUCCCUCUGAGCUUUACUCUAGUCCCAUGUUUUUGUAAUGUGAUACGAAACACACUGGAAAAUUAGAACAAAUCUGGAGAGGUAACUAAGUUAGACUAUGUUGUAAUCAUAGAUUUGUUUCGCAAAAGAUUUCUACGUAAACUAGUGUCUAUUUUAAUGUUUUUGAUGCUGACCACUUAUUUUGAAUAUAUUCUAAUUAUUUAUGAAUGGAGGUGUUUGGGGUUUAGCUAUAGUAAGGUUUAUGUGAGAACUGGGUGCAGUUCCAUAGGCACAAGGAGCUCACACCAUCUGACCACUCCCAAGAAUCUUCACCAUCUCUCUCAACACCACAUAUGACACACUCCAAAAACAUUCAAACCAACUAACAGCAUUAUUAUAGGAGGAUUUUAUAAUCGUAAUGUCGUAAGCAUAUUAUUAGUAGCUAGAACAUUUGAAAACAGUCUUCUGUGACCAUUGACAUAAAUGACCACGUUUGAUAAAAACCGUUAACAGAAGAGGGAUGAACACAAAAAGAUUCUGAAAUUGGCUGGCCCGUCAUCAUAGGUCUGAGAGCCAGGUGAAAGACAUUUUAUUCCAUGAAAUUCCAUAUGCACUGUAGAAUUUUGCACUUAGAGAUUGAACUGAUAGGAAGAACUGAAAGUUGCCACCGUCCAGUCAUAAGGCCAAAUGCAUUGUUUGUACCAACAUUCACCUGGAAUGAUAAUGCUUAGAAAACACAUUAUUUAAAGAAAAAACUCAAUUAAGGACACGUCCUCUGCAGGUUUCUUUCUUUACAGUGAUUCGCAGGGCUUAUUUUGAUAGAAAAUUUGUACUUUUUGGUUGUAGAUGUAAUAAUAUUCAUUAUGAUUUAUGAUUUUCAGAGAUGUGAUUGAUUUAAAAUAAAAAAUACACUGUCAAUA